RNAcentral lists this small RNA (47 nucleotides) under Rhodopirellula maiorica SM1. RNAcentral's name for it is "Acido-Lenti-1 RNA". It matches the Rfam family "Acido-Lenti-1 RNA". Lineage: Bacteria; Pseudomonadati; Planctomycetota; Planctomycetia; Pirellulales; Pirellulaceae. The record is from Rfam by way of RNAcentral.
CCCACGGCUCACGCCGUGGGCUGCAUCCUGACGUCCCUCUCGGUACU